This 1064-nucleotide long non-coding RNA is filed under the name Astyanax mexicanus (Mexican tetra). RNAcentral describes it as "lncRNA (ENSAMXG00005013962.1)". Lineage: Eukaryota; Metazoa; Chordata; Actinopteri; Characiformes; Acestrorhamphidae. The record is from RNAcentral.
CUUGAGCAGAGCUGGGCUCGAGUACGUUACGCAUUCGGUUGCUUAGUAACGAGACUCAGGUAGUUCAUAGCUGCUGUAGCUAAUGCUACGAUGUUUACUGUAAAUCAUGCUGCAUUUUGGAGUUUAUAGCGCCUCAGAAUCACGUUAUAAUCCCACUUAAACUCGGACAAACUCAUUAAACUUAAAUGGGAAUCAUUUCGGUCGGGGUGCUGAAGGUAACGAGGGCGUGGCUUGUGGUGUAGAGGGGCGGGGCUGGAGGUGACCUGCUACAGACUGCAGAGAAAGAGCAGCUGGAUUUGUGCCCAAAACAGGUUCAAACUGUGCAUAACGGACAGUUAAACCUCCUCACUUUAAAGCAUAUUUAAUGAGAUGUCAGCCACACUCCUCUGAACAUCAUCAAAAUGUACUUUUCACACCUUUCAACUGGACUGUUUACACUGGAAAGAACUACUUUCCCACGGGCCAGGGUUUCUCUUAUCAGACUCAUUCACUGGUUGACUGAAGGCAGACGCUCACUCCUGCAGGAUGAGUCAUCCCGCCGGACGACCGCAACUCGUGCAGAUCUCCUGGGUCUGGCCUUCUCGCGUAUAAUGACGAUCAUGACCUCUUCUCUUUCACUUCAGGAAUGCUAAAGAAACGAGCACGAGUGCAGACAGCUUGUUUAGCAACACUUCAGAAACUUUCUGUGACUCAGAUCUGAACGUAUUGUGUGCUGUCUAUGUUUACUGGGUACUUAAGAUGUCUUAUUUUGUUGGAAAUUGCAUCAUCAGAGGUCAGCAGGGGACCUUACACUCUUACAACGCUUCAAAAUGUUCUCUGAGUAAUGCCAUAGAAGCACCACUUUGGUUAUGUAAAGAGUGUAAAGAGACGUGUUUGUUAUAGAGAUGAGUGAGUGUGUAUGAAGAACCCUUCAGCUGGUGAAGAACAUUUACCUCAAGUAAAGGUUCUUCAGAUUCACAAGUCCUUCGUAAGAGAAAAUGCAUUUGAUAAUACUUUACAAUAAGUCACAACUAACAGUACUUACAACAGUAAUAAUCACUAAUAAAUGGUUAAGUCACAUCUCA